RNAcentral lists this ribosomal RNA (478 nucleotides) under uncultured bacterium. RNAcentral's name for it is "partial 16S ribosomal RNA". It matches the Rfam family "Bacterial small subunit ribosomal RNA", at positions 28 to 523 of the family's 1533-position model. The record is from RNAcentral.
GACGAACGCUGGCGGCGUGCUUAACACAUGCAAGUCGAGCGGUAAGGCCCUUCGGGGUACACGGGUGGCGAACGGGUGAGUAACACGUGGGUGAUCUGCCCUGCACUUCGGGAUAAGCCUGGGAAACUGGGUCUAAUACCGGAUAGGACCACUGCCUGCAUGGGUGGUGGUGGAAAGCUUUUGCGGUGUGGGAUGGGCCCGCGGCCUAUCAGCUUGUUGGUGGGGUGAUGGCCUACCAAGGCGACGACGGGUAGCCGGCCUGAGAGGGUGACCGGCCAAACUGGGACUGAGAUACGGCCCAGACUCCUACGGGAGGCAGCAGUGGGGAAUAUUGCACAAUGGGCGCAAGCCUGAUGCAGCGACGCCGCGUGAGGGAUGACGGCCUUCGAGUUGUAAACCUCUUUCAGCACCGACGAAACGCAAGUGACGGUAGGUGCAGAAGAAGGACCGGCCAACUACGUGCCAGCAGCCGCAGUAA